UACGUAGGGGGCAAGCGUUGUCCGGAAUCACUGGGCGUAAAGGGCGCGUAGGUGGCGCGAGUAGUCAACGGUGAAAGCCCGGGGCUCAACCCCGGGUCGGCCGUCGAUACUCUCGUGCUUGAGCACUGUAGAGGCAGGUGGAAUUCCAGGUGUAGCGGUGGAAUGCGUAGAGAUCCGGAAGAACACCGGUGGCGAAGGCGGCCUGCUGGGCAGUAGCUGACACUGAGGCGCGACAGCGUGGGGAGCAAACAGG
RNAcentral lists this ribosomal RNA (253 nucleotides) under uncultured bacterium. RNAcentral describes it as "partial 16S ribosomal RNA". It matches the Rfam family "Bacterial small subunit ribosomal RNA", at positions 524 to 776 of the family's 1533-position model. The record is from RNAcentral.